AACGAACGCUGGCGGCAGGCCUAACACAUGCAAGUCGAGCGCCCUUUCGGGGGAGCGGCGGACGGGUGAGUAACGCGUGGGAAUAUGCCCUUCUCUACGGAAUAGCCUCGGGAAACUGAGAGUAAUACCGUAUACGCCCUGUGGGGGAAAGAUUUAUCGGGGAAGGAUUAGCCCGCGUUGGAUUAGGUAGUUGGUGGGGUAAUGGCCUACCAAGCCGACGAUCCAUAGCUGGUUUGAGAGGAUGAUCAGCCACACUGGGACUGAGACACGGCCCAGACUCCUACGGGAGGCAGCAGUGGGGAAUCUUAGACAAUGGGGGCAACCCUGAUCUAGCCAUGCCGCGUGAGUGAUGAAGGCCUUAGGGUUGUAAAGCUCUUUCAGCUGGGAAGAUAAUGACGGUACCAGCAGAAGAAGCCCCGGCCAACUCCGUG
RNAcentral lists this ribosomal RNA (431 nucleotides) under uncultured bacterium. RNAcentral's name for it is "partial 16S ribosomal RNA". It matches the Rfam family "Bacterial small subunit ribosomal RNA", at positions 29 to 507 of the family's 1533-position model. The record is from RNAcentral.